CUGACUUUCUACAUCAACAAAAUAAUAAUAUACAAUCAAUUAAAAUUUCUACAUCAAUAAAAUAAUAAUAUACAAUCAAUUAAAAUUUUAAUUCAUUAAAUCAAUCAGAUUACAUACGAAAGAAGAGAUCUAAAAAAAUCUUCAUCUUCCCAUCACUCUCUCUCUACCAAGAAAUACCCCUAAUUUUACUGAACCAAAAUCCAAAUCAGCAGAAAACUCAGAUCCCAAAUCUCUCACAGACCCACCCUCCCGUGGCCACCACCCUCUGCCGCCUAAAUCCCCCUCUUCACCACCGUUGCCGCCUCCUCGCCAUCCACAUCCUUCCACCCUCCUCGAAGAACAGAUCUAAAAAAUGAUGGGAAUUGAAUAUAUUUUUUGGAAGAACAUAUCUAAAAAAAUGGAAACAGAAGCCAGCUGGAACAGCCCCGGCAAGGACAGAUUGUGUAAAAUCAAAAACGAAAAACCACCGCCGGGAGCGUCGGUAAGCGGCCUUCCUGACGCCGACAAGCGUUGUUGUUGUCAGUGGUGAUGGAACCCCUUGGACGAAAAAUGAUUUUCGUGGAUUGAUGAGGAUGAGCUCAACCUUUGUUGAUGAUUGGGAAUUUCUAUAAUAAUCUCUUGUAUAUGUCGUUAAUUUUGAUUUUGAUGAUGAUUAACUAUUUGCUUUUUAGUAUACGAAGCUGGUGAUGUCGUUUUGGAUUCGGAGAUUACUACUAAUUUCUCAACUUGAACGGAUUUCUUACCGGAGCAGGGACAUUUUUGUCCAAAAAACCAUUAGUGCCACUAGCAUUAGUACUAUUGGAUACUCCUCCUCUUUUCCCGUCCCGAUGAUAAUCAGAUUUAGAAGGGAAGUUUCUUAAAGACAGCCAAUGCGCCAGGGGAUUGAGAUCGAGAUCUAAAAAAAAUGAUGGGAAUUUGAUUUUUUAAUUGAUUAAGAUUUGAUUUAUCUUGAUAAAUAAAUUUGAUUUAAUUAAUGAAAAAAUAUUUUAUUUUUAUUAGUUUUUGUUUUGUUUUAUUAUGUUUUGUCAUUUUUAAAAUUUUAAAAUGUUAAAAAUUAAUUUUUUUAUUUUUAUUUUCAUAUCAUUGUUGCUGAUUGGCCACCU
Molecule: long non-coding RNA, 1103 nt
Filed under: Panax ginseng (ginseng)
Lineage: Eukaryota; Viridiplantae; Streptophyta; Magnoliopsida; Apiales; Araliaceae
Description: long non-coding RNA (PGIN_LNC014928)
Source: RNAcentral